AAGCCACCCAACGAUGUCCCAGGAUGUCCCAAAGCCACCCCAGAGUGUCCCAGGAUGUCCCAGGAUGUCCCAAAGCCACCAGGACCCUCCAGCUCCCCCCAUCCCCUCCCCCAUCACUCCAGGCUCCUCCAUCCCCCUCCCCCAUCUCCUCCCCAGGANGUGGUGGAAACAUCUCAGGGGGGUUCGAGGGGACGCUCUGGAAGGGAUCCAGAUGCAGUUAUGGAGUCUCUGGGGGGUGAGGAACCCAUGGAGACCCCAAAACUUCUCCCAGCAUUGUCCUGAGGUUCUCCCAGGAUUGUCCCAGGUUCUCCCAGGUUCUCCCAGGUCCUCCCAGGUUGUCCCAGGUUCUCCCAGGUUCUCAGAUGCAGUUAUGGAGUCUCUGGGGUGGGAGGGACCCAUGGAGACCUCAAAAGUUCUUCUGGGCUGAGGGGAAGGGUGGGAAUUUGUGGUGGCCACAUCUCAGGGGGGUUUGUGGAGAACAAUGGGGACACUCUGGAACAGCUCCUGAUGUCAUUAUGGGGUCUCUGGGGCGUGAGGAACCCAUGGAGACCUCAAAAGCCCUGGUGGGAUGUUAAAGAAAUGGGAAAUUUGUGGUGGCCACAUCUCAGGGGGGUUUGUGAAGAACAAUGGGGACACUCUGGAACAGCUCCUGAUGUCAUUAUGGGGUCUCUGGGGUGUGAGGAACCCACGGAGACCCCAAA
RNAcentral lists this long non-coding RNA (701 nucleotides) under Zonotrichia albicollis (white-throated sparrow). Its description in RNAcentral is "lncRNA (ENSZALG00000001930.1)". The record is from RNAcentral. Lineage: Eukaryota; Metazoa; Chordata; Aves; Passeriformes; Passerellidae.